UUUAUACGUCGAAUUUUGAUCGCGUCGAAUGCAAUUAAGACAAUAGAUAAUGAGAUGAUAACCCUCAUUACGCUUUAUUAUCUAUUGUUUGAAUUGCAUUCGACGCGACCGAAAUUCGACGUAUAAA
This 127-nucleotide microRNA precursor is filed under the name Paramuricea clavata. The record is from RNAcentral. Lineage: Eukaryota; Metazoa; Cnidaria; Anthozoa; Malacalcyonacea; Plexauridae.